This 253-nucleotide ribosomal RNA is filed under the name uncultured bacterium. Its description in RNAcentral is "partial 16S ribosomal RNA". It matches the Rfam family "Bacterial small subunit ribosomal RNA", at positions 524 to 776 of the family's 1533-position model. The record is from RNAcentral.
GAUGUAGGGCGCGAGCGUUGUCCGGAUUUAUUGGGCGUAAAGAGCUCGUAGGCGGCUUGUCGCGUUGUUCGUGAAAACUCACAGCUCAACUGUGGGCGUGCGGGCGAUACGGGCAGACUGGAGUACUGCAGGGGAGACUGGAAUUCCUGGUGUAGCGGUGGAAUGCGCAGAUAUCAGGAGGAACACCGGUGGCGAAGGCGGGUCUCUGGGCAGUAACUGACGCUGAGGAGCGAAAGCGUGGGGAGCGAACAGG